CCCUUAGAUGUCCUGGGCCGCACGCGCGUUACACUGAUGCAUUCAGCGAGCCUAUAACCUUGGCCGAGAGGCCUGGGCAAUCUUGUUAACGCGCAUCGUGAUAGGGAUAGAUUAUUGAAAUUAUUAAUCUUGAACGAGGAAUUCCUAGUAAACGCAGAUCAUCAAUCUGCAUUGAUUACGUCCCUGCCCUUUGUACACACCGCCCGUCGCACCUACCGAUUGGAUGGUCCGGUGAAGCCUCGGGAUUGUGGUUCUUGCCGCUUUAUUGUGGCGUGACCGCGAGAACUUGUCUAAACCUUAUCAUCUAGAGGAAGGUGAAGUCGUAACA
This 328-nucleotide ribosomal RNA is filed under the name uncultured eukaryote. Its description in RNAcentral is "partial 18S ribosomal RNA". It matches the Rfam family "Eukaryotic small subunit ribosomal RNA", at positions 1470 to 1796 of the family's 1831-position model. The record is from RNAcentral.